UCGGUGUUAAAAACCGAUACCAGCCCGUACCGGUUCCAAAUUUUUUUGGGGCUUUUGGAUGCAUGAAUCAAGCCGAACCAGUGGUACCGAUUCGGUACCAGUCCGAACUGGUAUUGGCGCCCACCGAUACGUCAGUACGGUGGACCUUGAAUACUCCUAACAACCGAAACAUGAGAAGGCUGGUAUCAGACUAUGUACUAAGAUAUGUUAGAUGACUUUAAAUAAACAUGAACAUAAUAAAAACUUGACCCUUGUUGUUGUGGGUCUUAUGGGUUAUAACAGGCUCAAGAGUCAGGAGUAUAAGCAUAUAGCAGACAAUUACAGAAGGCCCCAGGAGUCAGGAGUAUAA
This 349-nucleotide long non-coding RNA is filed under the name Phoenix dactylifera (date palm). Its description in RNAcentral is "long non-coding RNA (PDAC_LNC016712)". The record is from RNAcentral. Lineage: Eukaryota; Viridiplantae; Streptophyta; Magnoliopsida; Arecales; Arecaceae.